ACUGCAGUAGUGAAAAUGAAGCGCACGAUGGGCGGAAGCUAGGAAGACAAACAUAAAGAUGAAGUGCUUAAUUCAAGGUCACACAAUGUCGGGGAUGGACCUCCAGAUUUCCUUACUGUACUUAUCCUGUAUUACAUGAAGGAAAUGAAAUAAAAAGACUGCAGCCCCACUCCCAGCUACUCAGUGAGGUGGUAGCUAGGUAAGAAAACAACCCUUUCCUUUUAGAUGAAAUUGGAACUUAGGAGGUAGUAAUCUUUGGGAGAGGCUUAAAGGGAUUGAUAAUGAUGAUAACAAAAAUAAUAGUAAUGGCCAGCUUUGAUGAACCGGGCACUGUGCUAAGAACUUUAUGUUGGUUGCCAUCUUCUGACAACCAUAUGAUUCCGGUACUAUGAGAAGUAGAGCCAGUGUAGUAGGAGUGAGGAGCAUAGACUAUGGGGUCGGACCUCCUGCUUUGACACCUAAGUUUUGCCGGUAACUGACUGUGUGGCCUUGAACAAGAAAACUGUGCCUCAUUUGUACGGAUAGUCCCUGACUUACAGUGGUUUGACUUACAAUUUUCAACUUUACGAUGAUGCAAAAGCCAUAUAUGUUAAUUAGAAACUGCACUUGAAAUUCUUAAUUUUGAUAUUUUCCUGGCCUACUGACACGUUCUCAUGAUGCUGGGCUGCAGCAACAAGCUGCAGCUCCCACUCAGCCGUGCAGUCAUGAAGGCAAACAACCAAUACUGCACACUGUACUGUGUUUAAUAAAUUACAUGAGAUAUUCAAGUUUAUAAUAGGCAUUGUAUUAGAUGAUUUUGCCAAGCUAGAGGCUAAUGUUAAGUGUUCUGAGCAUAUUUAAGAUAGUCUAGGCUGAGCUAUGAUGUUUGGUAGGCUAAGUGUAUCAAAUAUGUUUUUGACUUACGGUAUUCGAGAUGUAACCUCAUCAUAAGUCAAGGAACAUCUGUAUUUGUACAAUGAGGAUAAUGAUAAUACCUGCCUCCUAAGAUGGUGGUGACGGUUAAAUGCCAUCAGCUAUGUAAAGUGCUUAGCAUAGUGCUUGGCACAUAGAAAGUGCUUACCAAAUGUCAGCUAUUAUCAUAAAAAUUAAAAUAGUUGUUAUUCUCAUUUAAAAGAUGGAUAAACAAAGGCUUAGAGAAAUAAGGUAAAUAAAGUAAUUUGUGUAAGUCACACAGCAUAUAAAUGACGGAAUUAGUUUGCACCCAGGCAGUCAAACUCCAGAGCUUUUGCUAACCAUUACGCUGCAUCACCUUAGUAGGUUGAGAGGAAGACUGGGCAAAAACUGCAUCUUGUCAAACUUGAGUGUAGGGGUAAAGGUCAGGCUUGAGUUCUGACUUACCUAACCUUCAUUGUGAUCUUAAGCAUCUUAUCAGUGUAGCAUGUGCCUCGAUUAUUCUCUGAAUUGAUUCUUCCCUAGAUCCAAAGACAUGAAUGAUAGGUUAGUUAUAUUCUUCUCCUGCUGAGGGAUUGGGUGUUCCCUGGACCGGGAAAUGGAGCUAAACAAACACCUAUGUCUCAGUGCUUUUUGGACCAUAAGUAAGAGCUUGUCCGGCCUCUCUUGUUAUUAUGCUUGUUUAUUUUUUCACAUGACUGGUAAUGAUGAGAAGCAGAACAGCAUACACAUUGAGAAUUUUCUUUUUUUUUUUUCUUUGAGACGGAGUUUUGCUCUUGUUGCCCAGGCUGGAAUGCAAUGGCGUGAUCUCACCUCACCGCAACCUCCGCCUCCCGGGUUCAGGCAAUUCUCCUGCCUCAGCCUCCCAAGUAGUAGCUGGGAUUACGGGCAUGUGACACCAAGCCCGGCUAAUUUUGUAUUUUUAGUAGAGACAGGGUUUCUCGAUGUUCCUCAGGCUGGUCUUGAACUCCCAGCCUCAGGUGAUCUGCCUGCCUCAGCCUCCCUAAGUGCUGGGAUUACAGGCGUGAGCCACUGUGCCUGGCCACACGUUGAGAAUUUUCUACAUGCUAUGUACUCUACAUGGAUUAUCUCAUUUAAUCCUUAAAAAUAACCUCAUGGUGACUCUUAUCCCCGUUUUAUAGAGUUGAAGAGAGGUUAGAAAACUUGCUUCAAGUUGCACAGUUAAUAAGUAGUAGAGCAGGGAUUUAAAUAAGGCAGUCCAUCCUGAG
This 2120-nucleotide long non-coding RNA is filed under the name Homo sapiens (human). RNAcentral describes it as "non-protein coding PCBP1-AS1:239". The record is from RNAcentral. Lineage: Eukaryota; Metazoa; Chordata; Mammalia; Primates; Hominidae.